RNAcentral lists this small RNA (1316 nucleotides) under Drosophila yakuba. RNAcentral describes it as "GE11468". Lineage: Eukaryota; Metazoa; Arthropoda; Insecta; Diptera; Drosophilidae. The record is from RNAcentral.
CGUGACCUGCACGACGAUCGAGGAGCGAUCCUCGGCUUCUGGCUUCUGGCUACUGGCAUUCUGGACUUCAGUGAUUGAAAGACGUGAACAGUGUGAUCAAUCAGUGAGAACUGAAACUGGAAAGUGUGUGAAGAAAAUCGUACGGACACAUCGGAAGAUGGUGACUUGAAUACCUGACCUGAGACCUGAUCGGGGUGAUCGCGGAUGCUGGGAAGGAGAUAGCUGGAAGAUCUGGACAAGACCAGCUGGCACCUACUUAUGGAUUGCGAAGGCGGCGGCGCAGGAGCAGAGGCAUCGGGAGUUGGAGGUUGUCGAUGGCCAAGUGGCCAAGUACCAAGUACCAAGUACCCAGCAUCCAAGUCGCCAGAAGUUGCCGACUCACAAUGUGUGUGCGCAAAGCAAAGGCUUUAAGAAAUGCCGAAUUCCAGAAGCCGCAGUACAAUCAGUUGAAUUAAAAAACGAGCGCACAGACAGAGGACGACGUCUGGAUGGGAUUCGGAUGCGGAUUGGGGAUGUGCAUGUGGAUGGAGAUGAGUAGGGGGAGAUGGAGUCCCCCCUCGGCUUCCAGAGGAUCGCCGGCGAUAUCAUCGCGUGGUGAGCGCGGGCUAGGAAAUUAAGAGGACAUUGUGGCGGCAUGCGGUUAGAACUCGCAGCGGCGGCUUAAACACAAAAUCCGCGGAGGAGAUUCCUUGCGUGGCUGCGUUGUUGGUGGCUUUUGGACAGCGGACAGCUGGACGCUGCCUGUGCUGACAGAGGUCGCCCUCGUACGUAAUCGACGAGCAUUGCAAAUGCUUGUGUCCUCCGCCGCCUGCGUCUUGUGCUGCGCACGUGGCCAUGUUGCAGCCGCAGCAGUCGCAACAGCAGCCGCAACAGCAGCAACUGCAACAGCAGCCGCAACAGCAGCAACUGCAACUGCAGCCAGAGCCAAGCAGCAAAUCAUUGAAAUGUCGUUAGAGGCUCGAGCGGCACGCAGCUUCGAUAGUCAGCGAAACCGCAAAAUGCUUUUAAUUUCUCAAACUGAUAUGCACCCGUGCUCCCGCUUCCACUGCCGAGGAGCAGGAGGAGGUGGAGGAGGAGGAGGAGGGCGGGGCCAGAGGUUUGGUCUUUGUUUCCUUCCUUGGCUUUUCUAUACCUAAUGAUGAGGAAUUGGGGGCCAAGGUUCAAAGCACUAGAUUCGAGCAGAAAACAUCACAAAGAAGUAUUUAGUACAGUAGUCAGCGGCUAAUUUCAUUUGUAUAAUAAGCAUGCACACAAAUAAAGCUGAAGUAAUGUAUCUUGAAUAAAGUUUUGAAAUAAACACGAGUCGUUGAAGCCAA